Heteronotia binoei (common prickly gecko) is the source of this 314-nucleotide long non-coding RNA. RefSeq lists it as uncharacterized. NCBI's taxonomy places the organism in Eukaryota, Metazoa, Chordata, Lepidosauria, Squamata, Gekkonidae. The transcript is spliced from 3 exons. The record is from RefSeq and is a predicted model, not a curated record.
AAGAAGAACUCAACAAGCGCCUGGCCACAGAGGAUGAAUUUGCAGCACUCAGGAAGGAUAUAGAUACUGCUUACAAGGAUAACGUCGAUUUGGAUGUGAAGACAGAUUUGUUGAUAGAACAAAUUGUAUGCUUGAGAGGUAUUUAUGAAAUGGAGCUAAUGGAACUUCAGAGAAGAGUCCAUGAUGGCACCAAUGACAUUGUCUUCAUGAAUAACCACAGAAACCUGAAUAUGGACAACUCCUUGAAAGAGGUCAGAUGCCGAUAUGAAGAGAUUGCACAGAGGAGCAAAGAAGAAGUGGAUGCACGAUGUGGA